Molecule: ribosomal RNA, 784 nt
Filed under: uncultured archaeon
Lineage: Archaea
Description: bacterial SSU rRNA
Rfam family: Archaeal small subunit ribosomal RNA
Source: RNAcentral
UCGGUUGAUCCUGCCGGACCUUACUGCUAUCGGGGUGGACUAAGACAUGCGAGUCGAGCGUCUCUAGCUAUGUUGAGACGCGGCAUACGGCUCAGUAACACGUGGCUAACCUACCCUCAGGACGGGAACAAACCCGGGAAACUGGGGCUAAUAUCCGAUAGGUGAGGAUGCCUGGAAUGGUUUCUCACUCAAAGGGCUUUAGAAACAUGCUUCUAAAGUCGCCUGGGGAUGGGGCCGCGACCGAUCAGGUUGUUGGUGAGGUAAUGGCUCACCAAGCCUAUAACCGGUACGGGCCGUGAGAGCGGUAGCCCGGAGAUGGGUACUGAGACAAGGACCCAGGCCCUACGGGGCGCAGCAGUCGCGAAAACUCCGCAAUGCACGAAAGUGUGACGGGGCUACCCCGAGUGCCAUCCGCUGAGGAUGGCUUUUCCUUGGUAUAACUAGCUAGGGGAAUAAGGAGAGGGCAAGACUGGUGUCAGCCGCCGCGGUAAUACCAGCUCUCCGAGUGGUAGGGAUGAUUAUUGGGCUUAAAGCGUCCGUAGCCGGCUUAGCAAGUCUCCUGUUAAAUUCANCGACCUAAUCGUUGAGCCGCGGGAGAUACUACUAGGCUAGGAGGCGGGAGAGGUCGACGGUACUUCUGGGGUANGGGUGAAAUCCUAUAAUCCCGGGAGGACCACCAGUGGCGAGGGCUGUCGACUAGAACGCGCUCGACGGUNAGGNACGAANCUGGGGGAGCNAACCGGANUANAUACCCGGGUAGUCCCAGCCGUAAACGAUGCGGGCU